Molecule: ribosomal RNA, 889 nt
Filed under: Polypedates leucomystax (Java whipping frog)
Lineage: Eukaryota; Metazoa; Chordata; Amphibia; Anura; Rhacophoridae
Description: partial 16S ribosomal RNA
Rfam family: Bacterial large subunit ribosomal RNA
Source: RNAcentral
GCAGCCACCUUUUGAAACGCGUCAAAGCGUAACUUUAACACCCAAAAUACCAUUAAUUUUUAUGAACCCCUAAUUUAUAAUGAAUGACUCCAUAUUUAUAUGGAAGACACCAUGCUAGGAUUAGUAACAAGAAUUUAUAAUUCUCCAAAAUGCAAAUAUAAACCAACAUGGAUAGACCAUUGGUAGUUACCGAACCUAAAUUUAAUGCAAUAACAUCCACAAGAAAACUCUGCAGCACUCACUCGUUAACCUAACACCAGCGCAUUACAGGAAAGAUUCAAAAAAAGAGAAGGAAUUCGGCAAAUGACGGCCCCGCCUGUUUACCAAAAACAUCGCCUCUUGACUUAUAAUAAGAGGUCUAGCCUGCCCAGUGAAUUUUAAACGGCCGCGGUAUCCUAACCGCGCGAAGGUAGCAUAAUCACUUGUUCUUUAAAUGGGGACUCGUAUCAACGGCAUCACGAGGGUUUUACUGUCUCCUCUUUUUGAUCAGUGAAAUUGAUCUUCCCGUGAAGAAGCGGGAAUAUUUUUAUAAGACGAGAAGACCCCAUGGAGCUUUAAACCAAAUAACAACUUAACCACUUAUCCCAUAAUAAAUUUAACCCCUGUUAUAAGGUUUUUGGUUGGGGUGACCGCGGAGUAAAGCACAUCCUCCACGACGGAAAGAAUAAAAUCUUUAUUUAAGAACCACACUUCUAGAAAUUAGUAUACUAACGUUUACUGACCCGACAAUCGAUCAACGGACCAAGUUACCCUGGGGAUAACAGCGCAAUCUACUUCGAGAGCUCAUAUCGACAAGUAGGCUUACGACCUCGAUGUUGGAUCAGGGUAUCCCGGUGGUGCAGCCGCUACCGAAGGUUCGUUUGUUCAACGAUUAAAACCCUACGUGAUC